This 86-nucleotide transfer RNA is filed under the name Candidatus Zambryskibacteria bacterium RIFCSPHIGHO2_01_FULL_46_30. Its description in RNAcentral is "tRNA-Leu". It matches the Rfam family "tRNA". Rfam says of the family: Transfer RNA (tRNA) molecules are approximately 80 nucleotides in length. Their secondary structure includes four short double-helical elements and three loops (D, anti-codon, and T loops). The record is from RNAcentral. Lineage: Bacteria; Candidatus Zambryskiibacteriota. RNAcentral also lists the same sequence under 1 other name.
GCUCGGGUGGUGUAAUUUAGUAAACACGUACGCUUGAGGUGCGUAUGCCGUAAGGCGUGGAGGUGCAAGUCCUCUCCCGAGCACCA